RNAcentral lists this transfer RNA (73 nucleotides) under Candidatus Bathyarchaeota archaeon. RNAcentral's name for it is "tRNA-OTHER". It matches the Rfam family "tRNA". From Rfam's summary of the family: Transfer RNA (tRNA) molecules are approximately 80 nucleotides in length. Lineage: Archaea; Thermoproteati; Candidatus Bathyarchaeota. The record is from RNAcentral.
GGGGCGGUGGGAUAGUGGCCAGCCUUCCCGGAAUGGUAGCCGGGAGACCCGGGUUCGAAUCCCGGCCGCCCCA